This is a long non-coding RNA of Rhinopithecus bieti (black snub-nosed monkey), 5317 nucleotides long. The record is from Ensembl. NCBI's taxonomy places the organism in Eukaryota, Metazoa, Chordata, Mammalia, Primates, Cercopithecidae.
AUGUGGACUAAGAUUUCAGGAUCAAAAGGGCAACAGGAGGGAAAGGGGUUAACAGGACCGAACAGUGCUAGUGAAGCUGUCUCUGAGAAACAAUGUCUUCAGAGCCAGAACUCAGGCCUCCAAUUGGAACAAAACAUUCUCAGAAGUACCAACCGCCCCCGACAGCUGGUGAAGACAACUCUGUUGGCAAUGCAGUACUUCUUCCUCCCUCUGCAAUGGGAUGCCUUCACCUCCAGACAUCCACGGGAGACAGCUGGGAAUAACCUCAAAGCACUUAAGACGAUGAAUGAUGUUUUAGGAACAAAGCACCAGUCUUCCAUCAGCCCUUAUCAAAAGGGACUCCAUAUUCAAGGGACUAAUAUUUGUCUUUUCAAGGAACUUCAAUUUUAUUUUUGACUGUUGUGGGUCAGUGACAAGUCUUCCUAGAGCAAUUUCGGAUUUUUCUCUUCACCUGAAGGAUCUCCAAAAGGAUGCCUUUCAACUCCCUAUUCCAAAGCACAGACAGACUGCUUUGACAAGAAAAAAAAUAGGCUAAAACCAAUUUAGAUUCUACAAUGGUAAACCAAAGAGUCUUUAGCCUUGAUAUAAAUGUCUUCUAAAAGAACAUACUUCACCAAAUAAAACAAAGACUUGAUGUCACAGCUUGAAUUUUGGAAAUAUGUCCUUAUCCAUGUGACUACUUGGAAAGGCAGGAAGUAUAGCUGGCCUGCCCACUUGAAAAACUAAAACCCAUUUUGCCCAGGCAUGGAAUGAGAGACAGUAGUUAAGAACAUUGUUAUUAAAUACCCCAUCAAUUUUUAAUAUGGGUGCCAUUGCUAAAUUUCAAAUCUAGUAGUUCUUUUUCUGGAUAUAAACUAAUGCUAUUGUGAAAUAAUUUUUUAGCUGGACGCAGAAAGUAGGACCUAUUUUUUUCAGGCUCGAAACCCUACUGAGAUCACCACUACAGAAACAUGUGGCGCCAGAAGUACAGACAGGAAAAGAAACGUGUAAUUUUUUUCUAAGCAAUCAGCUAUGAAUAAAAUGCAAGAAUACUUUACUCACCCCACACGGAAAAUGUUUCCUAAAAACUUCCUUUGUUGAUCUUCUCAGAAUUAGACAUUUGAAGGUUUGCUCUACUUUGAAUAUGUGGCAUCAAAAUGUCAUACAAUACAAAUCAUUUUGGAAAAAUACCGUUGAUUAGAAAAUGUUAACAGUUACAAAAGGAGAGUAAAAGUGUUGAAUAUGACAUAAACUGAAACGGAAGAAAUACUUGGAUAACAAGCAAAGUUAUUACCGGAAAGAAUUGAAAUACUUUGCAAAAUACCACCAUCUCUAACACUUGAGGUACAUGUAUUGGUGGAGAAAGGGACCACGGUAUAUUAAUGUUUCAUAUACCUAUAAGAAUCUGAGAACUUAAAAUACUACCUGCUAAACUGAUACAAAUAAAUUAAGAAGUAAAGCAGCAAGGAUAGUAGGCCUAACUACCAAACAUACAAAAUACAGGGUGACAGUGAAUUCAAGAACUGCAGUCAGAAGCUAUUCUAUACCUGCUUUUUAAAAAAAACGUAAAGCUUCUUAGACUAGAUCUUUAUCAAAUCUCUAUUUCAUCAGUCCACUGGGAUCAUAUGGUUGUUAUGUAGCAAAAGAUCCCAUAGGAAUGAGAAUGAGAACAUCUCUCCAGCAGUUAUCCUUAGCCCAGGAAUGUCACAGGCAUUUUACAUAUAUGAUCUCAAAAAGUCUGCAGAGCAACUCCACUGGUGGAUAUGAAUUUUUGUCUCCAUUUUAUAGAAGAAAAAACUGAGUUUAGAAAAGUUACAUAACUCACCUGAGGCCACAAGGUCAUAUUUAAUUCCAUGACUAUCAGAUGACAAAGCCUGGAGCUUUUCACAUCUGAUAACGGCUCCAUAGGUUCCUAAGCAAAUCUCCAGGCCCCUUGGGGCAGCUCAAGGCUGCGGAAUGUACCCCCACCAGAAUCCAAGAAACUUGGGUCUGCCUUGGCUACGAGGCUGGGACUGGUAACCCUGGUUUGUCAAACCACCACCCCUCUGGCCUCAGGUCCCUCUGCCCAACGUGAAGAGGCUGGACUGAAUGAGCCCUGGUUCCUUCUGGCUAACAUUUGGAUUCCAUAGGAAAAAACUAGCUUUACCCAGUCUUCAGUGAUUUUUUUCUUUUCCUAAGCACAUACCACUACAUGUCUUUUUGGCCACAAAAGGAUUCAAGCACCAUGAGAACUACAGACAAAAGGCUUUGAUUUGGCUGGGCGCAGUGACUCAUGCUUGUAAUCCCAACACUCUGGGAGGCCAAGGUGGGUGGAUCACCUGAGCAGGAGUUUGAGACCAGCCUGGCCAAUAUGGCGAAACCCCGUCUCUACUAAAAAUACAAAAACAUUAGCAGGGCAUGGUGGCAGGCCCUGUAAUGCCAGCUACUCUGGAGGCUGAGUCAGGAGACUCGCUUGAACCUGGGAGGUGGAAGUUGCCGUGAGCCCAGAUUGCGCCACUGCACUCCAACCUGGGCGACAGAGCAAGACUCCAUCCCCUGGGAUCCACCCCUGCCCCCUCCCCACCAAAAAACAAACAAACAAACAAACAAAACAAAACAAAAAAACGCUUUGAUUUAAUAGCCUAAAGGGCAGGUCUAUUAGUGAUCUCUUCCUAGGGCUGUUUUCAGACUGAGGCAGGGCUGGCUACCUUUAAUUUAGCUUAAACGUCAUUUAUCACUUGUCUUGCAAAGCAGAGCUCUGGGUUCCUCCUGGCUGCAAGGUACAGACAUUGUGUCCUUAACCUCCCCCACACACUUUGAUGAUUGUUUCCAGGACUUUCUGCCUUGCUAGAUAGAUGUGAGCCUCUGGCAGACAUGAAAACCGUCUCAUUUGCCCCUAUAUCCCCAGCACCUACUCCUUGCUACCGUGCCUGAAGCAUCAGUGUUUAUAAAUGCUUACUGAGUCUGGACACUGUUGCUCACACCUGUAAUCCUAGCACUUUGGGAGACCGAGGUGGGCAGGUUGCGUGAGCUCAGGGGUUCGAGACCAGCCUGGGCAACAUGGUCAAACUCCAUUUCUACUAAAAAAUAAAAAAUCAGCCGGGUGUGGCAGCGUGCACCUGUAAUCCCAGCUACUUGGGAGGCUGAGGCAGGAGAACUGCUUGAACCCAGGAGGCAGAGGUUUCAGUGAGCUGAGAUCGUGCCACUGCACUCCAGCCUGGGUGACAGAGACUCCAUCUCAAAAAAAAAUAAAUAAAUAAACGCUUACUGAAUCCUGAAUUUUUUUUUUUUUUUUUUUUGAAAGGGAGGCAGGAAAGGAGAUGCAAGAAUCUAGGUGAUCCAUGUGCUUUAUAACUCACAGGAUUCCGUUAAACAAAUACCAAGCACAGCCCUAUCUCACUUUGCACAAAAGAUGAGAUGUGUUCCUGAAAGGUAAGAGAGAUUUAUACCUUGAUUCAGCUUGCUAAUAUUUUCCAAGAACCUAACCUUAACUUCAAAUAUAGCCUUUCCUUACAUUUUUCUUUAAUAAUCUGUACAGCCUCCUAACUCAUGACAUCAACAAUUAAAUACAUUGUACUUCUAGAACGCAAGAAAAUGUACAGUACUUUAAAGCAAAAAAAAAAAAAGUGUCUAUGAAACUACAAUGGUGGAUACCUGUCAUUAAACAUUUGUCAAAACCCGCAGCACAUAUAACACCAAGAGCAAACCCUAAGGUCACUUACAGGCUUGGUGAUAACGACACGUCAAUGUAGGUUCAUCAGUUGUAACAAACAAGCCACUCUGGUGUGGGACAACAGGAGGGCGGCUGUGUGUGUGUGGGGACAGGGAGUUCAUACAGAACCUCUCUGUAUUUUCCACUCAGUUUUGCUGUGAAAUUAAAAUGGUUCUAAAAAUAAAGCUGAUUUUUAAAAAAGUGAACACCCCUUCAGUUAAUCCACAUUGUUAAAGAGUCAAAUGUUUCAACUUAGACCAUGUAUUCAUCUUUGCAGUUGCAAAGCACGUGACAAAAAUCACUUAACUCCAAGUGCCUAAAAAUUGAUCAGAUGGAGUUUUCCCGUGAAAGCAACAUUUAUCCUCCAAAUUCAUCUUGUUUUCAAUUCAGACUUGGAUAUACUAGUCUAUACCUACCUGUGAGGAUGCUUUUUUUUUUUUUUUUUUUUUUAAAGAGAUUAAGUCUUGUUCUGUCGCUCGGGCUGGAGUGCAGUGGCACAGUCAUAGCUCACUGUAGCCUCGAACUCCUGGGCUCAAGCAAUCCUCCUGCCUCAGUCUUCCGGGUAGUUGGACUACAGGCACGCGCCACUGUGCCAGGUUAAGUUUAAAAAAAUUUUUUUUUGUAAAGACACUGUCUCACUUUGUUGCCCAGGCUGGUCUCAAAUUCCUGGCCUCAAAUGAUUCUCCUGCCUCAGCCUCCUAAAGUGCUGGAAUUACAGGUGUGAGUCACUCACUGGCCUUAAAUAGGAGAACAUUUUUAAGUUAAACUAAGCUCCUUGAGGACAAGGGACUUGCUUUUCAUUGCUCUUUAUUCCUCUGAUACCUGGUAUGUAGUGAGUACCCAAUUAUUGUUUGGAUGAAUCAAUCAGUAAAUGAAUAUAUUAUUUUCACAGUUUCUGAGCCAAAAGUUACAAACACUGGAUGCAAAUUCUAGGAUGAAGGACCAGAGAGAAGAGGCUGAAAAUUAGAAAACGAGUCUCAGUAGGGAAAGCAAAGACAAACACUGUGAAACAUGAGGAACAAGACUGUGACAUGAAAGGAAUUCUGUAAAAUUUAGUUGGAUACCAAAAUGGAUCUCACAAUUUGUGAAAUUAAAAUUUCUUAACAGUCAAAACAACACCCUUGAUCAUUUAUUGUAAAUCUAACUCUGAGAAGUUGGGUGCAAGGAAUGAAUGACAUGAAGAAAACAAAAAUGUACCCACCAUUUAUACUGCAGGAAGCAGAGGGGGAAAAGCUACCUUUAUUUUUGAUAGAGGAUGUUGCAUCACUUAUUAUUUGCCAGAUUCUGUACACUCCUAUUCCACUUCAUUUUCAUUUUUACAAAUGUCAAUUAUUUAAUCUAUGCAUCCCCAUUCUUCCACCAGACUGCAUCCUUCCAUCACUUACACCUAUCUUCCCACACUCCAACUCCUUUUCCCUUAUCCCAAAUAUAAUUCAAAGAAUCAAGAAACUUUUAUAAGAUUACAAGAGUUUUCUCUCUGGUUUGGGUGUAACAUUUCAGGGAGAUUCUGCUGAAUGCUGAAGAUUUCUGAAAUGUUGUGCUGUGAGGUUUCCAAAGGACAACAUCAAAAUUUGGUAUUUAUGCGUACGCCAAAUAGAUUUGAUUAAAAACAUUUUGCACAUAAUUAAGGGUUCUUGCCUUCAGUGU